Molecule: ribosomal RNA, 407 nt
Filed under: Verrucomicrobiota bacterium
Lineage: Bacteria; Pseudomonadati; Verrucomicrobiota
Description: Verrucomicrobia bacterium partial 16S ribosomal RNA
Rfam family: Bacterial small subunit ribosomal RNA
Source: RNAcentral
UGGGGAAUAUUGGACAAUGGAGGAAACUCUGAUCCAGCAAUUCUGUGUGUGUGAAGAAGGUUUUAGGACUGUAAAACACUUUUAGUAGGGAAGAAAAAAAUGACGGUACCUACAGAAGAAGCAACGGCUAAAUACGUGCCAGCAGCCGCGGUAAUACGUAUGUUGCGAGCGUUAUCCGGAAUUAUUGGGCUCAAAGGGCAUCUAGGCGGUAAGACGAGUUGAAGGUGAAAACCUGUGGCUCAACCAUAGGCUUGCCUACAAAACUGUUGAACUAGAGUACUGGAAAGGUGGGUGGAACUACACGAGGAGAGGUGAAAUUCGUAGAUAUGUGUAGGAAUGCCGAUGAUGAAGAUAACUCACUGGACAGAAACUGACGCUGAAGUGCGAAAGCUAGGGGAGCAAACAGG